Molecule: ribosomal RNA, 123 nt
Organism: Neogale vison (American mink)
Lineage: Eukaryota; Metazoa; Chordata; Mammalia; Carnivora; Mustelidae
Source: Ensembl
GUCUAGGGCCAUACCUGAACAUGCCAGAUCUCGUCUGAUCUCAGAAGCUAAGCAGGCUUAGGCCUGGUUAGUACUUGGAUGGGAGAAAAUAAAAAGUCCAUUGAUGUAAACUGGGAGUUCACA